Molecule: long non-coding RNA, 2947 nt
Organism: Chloebia gouldiae (Gouldian finch)
Lineage: Eukaryota; Metazoa; Chordata; Aves; Passeriformes; Passeridae
Source: Ensembl
CUUCACAUUCACAUGGUGUGUUAAGGUGUUUUAACUUCACCUGACAAAAUUUACACCUUCUCAUCUGUGCCUCCUUUUCAUAUAUGGCCUCUGCUUUUCUGAACAGGAAAUAAAUGCAUUGAGGGCUGAACAUUCCCAGCCCAUGCACAAAUAGCCUCCUGGGAGCCUUGAUUCAGGAUUCUUGGAGCUGUCUUAGUUCAGCUUGCCUGGGAAGGUGGAGGGGUUUGUCUGGGAGCACCUGUUUGAAGAUGCUGGCUCGUAGUGGUGGGAGCCAUCAGCAGAUGAGGUCAGCAGUCUGAAGUAUCUGCAGAGGUCAGAGGGAAAUUAAUGGGUCAUUUCUUUUGCAAAUGAAGACCUGCAGCCUGGAGCAGCCUUAGUAAAGCCCAGCAUGUGGGUCCAGGCUGUUCCUUUUAUGACCCGAUGGAAAUGGGGCCCAAAAGGACUUCCCUGAUGGAGUUCAGUCUCCAUUAAAGUACUUUGUUAUCUUUCCCUUCUGCAGCAUGCACUGGGUAUAGAGCAUGGAUUGGGGGUUAUCCUGGCUAUAAGCACACUCAAGAGGAUGAAGGUUUUAUGGCUGCAUGGAAAACCUUGGACUGCAGGCUACCUGAAGAGCCAAGGCGAAAUUCAGGUCUAUCUGCACGAGCCCGGAUGCCGGGAGAGCAGCCGGCAGGAGGAGCUCGCUGGACACGUCGCUGGAUCGUUCCCAGGCAGUCACAGACACAUGAUUCAAGGGCAUCGCUUUAGAUCUGCCUUCUUGGGACUUGAAGACAAACCAUCGGAGCAGAACACAGAGGAAACUUCGUGGUAUUGCAACCGAGAAGCCCCAGUGAUUUAUAUUAAUAUUUUUUUAGACUUUGCUCAGCUUGUUUUUCCCACCAUGAUGCUUUUAUCUGUCAUCUUUUUAGAUACUUAAGGUGUUCAGGAAGAUACUGAGAUGCCUUUUAGUCCCUAGAAGUGGCCAACUGUUUUAUUUUCCAAGAAAGCUAGUGUAAGAUUUCUUGGACAGCAUUCUAACCACAGAGUAAAGAAUUCAAAAACAAUGUUUGUCUUAGCAUAGGAAGUUAUCCUCCUGGAGUCCUCAUGACCUCUGAGAGGACCUGCAAGUAAAAAGCUCUGAAACCUAUCAGUACCACUCUGAUUAUUGGCUUGACAAAGUUAUUCAAACAGUUCUGCCCCCUUGUAUGCAGUUCACCUAUGUCUUCUGUGAGAAGCGGGCACAGAGGACAGUAGUAGCUCUUUUGCACAGCACAGUGUUCUCAUUAGUUAGGUGCAAAGUGUCACUCUGCUUCUUAGGGCCAGUCCUGCAGCCCUGAAUUUCACAACCUCCAUGCUUGUGCCUCUGCACCACCUUUAAAAUAAUUAAGAUUUUUUUUAAUUGGUGAAUUCUUUGCUUUUGUAAGUCUGUCCCUCAUUUAGUUACUAAAUGGGAGCUGGGUGCCUUCUGGUCCUGAAGGUUGCUGUAAUAAUUAUUUUGAUUCUGAAUGUGCCAGAAACUAUUCUAAUGCAUAUCAGUGUAAAUUAAGUCAAUAGAGAUUCUUCAAAUUUAUCCUGGUGUUCAAGAGAAUGGAAUUCAUGCACUUCAAUUUACAGCUUAUUAAGUGAUCAGAAUUAAUGAACUUGCAAUGACCUUUUCUGUUCUUGUUUACACAUUUUCUUCCUAUUCACUCAUAAUGUACAUGAUUUGGAAAAUGUAGAGAGUUGAAAAGGCAGCGUGUGGGUCAGAUAUGUCCCAUGGAGCACAGCAUUGUGCUUCAGGCUUUAAUCAUAUUUUCAAAGCUGCAGUGUAGAAAUGGCAUCUCUGCUGAUGCUCAGAAACCCAGCUUAAUUUUUAGAACCCUCUCUGCAUUCUUAAAGCUAGAAAAACAUUUGUACUGAGGAGCAGUAAAGGUGUUCUUCAGAAUCACUGGAUAGAUGCUGAACAAUCUUUUUUUUUAGCAUUAUUUUUCAGUGUAGUACUAUAUUUCAGCCUGGAGGUUGGGAAUAAUACAAACCAUUGGAUCCAUCUUUCAUUUUAUUCUGAGAUUUGGAAAUCACUUGGGAUGUCACCAAGAAAACCUCACAUAAACACUCUUUUUCCUAAGACCAGCUGAACAUUAUUCCACUAUGAUUCAGCUCAAUGUUUGAUGAAAGUUUCCCUUUGAUUUGCCUAAGGCUAAACUAUGACUAUGACUAAGGCUAAACUUGUGAGGCUGUGUGCUCAUCUGGUCAUUGUUUCUCUCUGACUUCAUAGUAUAGGAUGACUUCUAAAUGCUUCAUCUGAUCAACUACAAAAAUUUCAGCGAUUUUCUAUUAUUACUGUAAGAGGGAAUGCCACUAAUUUCUAGAAAUACUAGGAAAUCAAAAAGGGAGAAUUGUGAAGCAGCAGUGAUUUAGGUACCACUGCACUUGAAGGUGUGAAGCAACUGGGUGAUAGCUCUCGCAUACCAAUACCUUUAUCUCAUCUCUGUCUAUUGUUCUAGAAAUGUUAUGUGAGCACACAGAAAGAUCUGUCCCCAGAUAAACACAGGGCUUGUGCAGCAACCUCUGCAGAAUUGAAGAAGAAUCGAGAUCCAAAGUUAGAAGGAAAAAGAAGCCCAGAUGUGAGGGAGUUAAGGGUGCUCUGCUAGAGGAGUAAUGUAAGCAUGCACAGGAACACUGACAGUGACAUUUAGAGAACCCAUUUACUCAGGGAGUGGAGGUAGAUGGGGCAUUAAAAUGCUAUUGUAAGAGAGAAUAAGAGAUUCCUGAAGAGGAAAACGCUGCUAUCACAGCAACACAAUCUGCUUGAGGGCAUGCACGUGCCCCAGACAUUGCCAGGGGAGCUGAGAAGCUUGAGAAGGUGGCAUAAGAGGCACAUGUACAGGGGGGUGUGAGGCUUAUGGUAUAAAUCCCUGUAUGGGAGAGCAAAAUCUUCAAAGGAAUGGGUGUCGAUAAUAAACUGCCCACAAGAAAUGAGAAAUAGAGGGCA